GUAGGUGGGCAAGCGUUGUCCGGAAUUAUUGGGCGUAAAGCGCGCGCAGGGCGGUUCUUUAAGUCUGAUGUGAAAGCCCACGGCUCAACCGUGGAGGGUCAUUGGAAACUGGAGAACUUGAGUACAGAAGAGGAAAGCGGAAUUCCACGUGUAGCGGUGAAAUGCGUAGAGAUGUGGAGGAACACCAGGGGCGAAGGCGGCUUUCUGGUCUGUAACUGACGCUGAGGCGCGAAAGCGUGGGGAGCAAACAGGAUUAGAUACCCUGGUAGUCCACGCCGUAAACGAUGAGUGCUAAGUGUUAGGGGGUUUCCGCCCCUUAGUGCUGCAGUUAACGCAUUAAGCACUCCGCCUGGGGAGUACGGCCGCAAGGCUG
RNAcentral lists this ribosomal RNA (373 nucleotides) under uncultured organism. RNAcentral's name for it is "partial 16S ribosomal RNA". It matches the Rfam family "Bacterial small subunit ribosomal RNA", at positions 526 to 896 of the family's 1533-position model. The record is from RNAcentral.